RNAcentral lists this transfer RNA (76 nucleotides) under Thermoanaerobacterales bacterium. Its description in RNAcentral is "tRNA-Glu". It matches the Rfam family "tRNA". From Rfam's summary of the family: Transfer RNA (tRNA) molecules are approximately 80 nucleotides in length. Their secondary structure includes four short double-helical elements and three loops (D, anti-codon, and T loops). RNAcentral also lists the same sequence under 1 other name. The record is from RNAcentral. Lineage: Bacteria; Bacillati; Bacillota; Clostridia; Thermoanaerobacterales.
GGCCAUAUCGUCUAGGGGUUUAGGACGCCGCCCUCUCACGGCGGUAACGGGGGUUCGAAUCCCCCUAUGGCUACCA